RNAcentral lists this ribosomal RNA (253 nucleotides) under uncultured bacterium. RNAcentral's name for it is "partial 16S ribosomal RNA". It matches the Rfam family "Bacterial small subunit ribosomal RNA", at positions 524 to 776 of the family's 1533-position model. The record is from RNAcentral.
UACGUAGGGUGCGAGCGUUAAUCGGAAUUACUGGGCGUAAAGCGUGCGCAGGCGGUUUUGUAAGCCAGAUGUGAAAUCCCCGGGCUUAACCUGGGAAUGGCAUUUGGGACUGCAAGGCUUGAGUGCGGCAGAGGAGACUGGAAUUCCUGGUGUAGCAGUGAAAUGCGCAGAUAUCAGGAAGAACACCGGUGGCGAAGGCGGCCUCCUGGACGGUGACUGACGCUGAGACGCGAAAGCGUGGGGAGCAAACAGG